This 467-nucleotide ribosomal RNA is filed under the name uncultured bacterium. Its description in RNAcentral is "partial 16S ribosomal RNA". It matches the Rfam family "Bacterial small subunit ribosomal RNA", at positions 28 to 507 of the family's 1533-position model. The record is from RNAcentral.
GAUGGACGCUGACAGAAUGCUUAACACAUGCAAGUCAACUUGAAUUUGGGUUUUAAACUUAGGUUUGGGUGGCGGACGGGUGAGUAACGCGUAAAGAACUUGCCUCACAGCUAGGGACAACAUUUGGAAACGAAUGCUAAUACCUAAUAUUAUGAUAAUAGGGCAUCCUAUAAUUAUGAAAGCUAUAAGCGCUGUGAGAGAGCUUUGCGUCCCAUUAGCUAGUUGGAGAGGUAACGGCUCACCAAGGCGAUGAUGGGUAGCCGGCCUGAGAGGGUGAUCGGCCACAAGGGGACUGAGACACGGCCCUUACUCCUACGGGAGGCAGCAGUGGGGAAUAUUGGACAAUGGACCGAGAGUCUGAUCCAGCAAUUCUGUGUGCACGAUGAAGUUUUUCGGAAUGUAAAGUGCUUUCAGUUGGGAAGAAACAAAUGACGGUACCAACAGAAGAAGUGACGGCUAAAUACGUG